UACGGAAGGCAGCAGUGGGGAAUAUUGCACAAUGGGCGCAAGCCUGAUGCAGCCAUGCCGCGUGUAUGAAAAAGGCCUUCGGGUUGUAAAGUACUUUCAGUCGUGAGGAAGGUGUUAAGGUUAAUAACCUUAGCAAUUGACGUUAGCGACAGAAGAAGCACCGGCUAACUCCGUGCCAGCAGCCGCGGUAAUACGGAGGGUGCGAGCGUUAAUCGGAAUUACUGGGCGUAAAGAGCACGUAGGUGGUUUUUUUAAGUCAGAUGUGAAAUCCCUGGGCUUAACCUAGGAACUGCAUUUUGAAACUGAAAUACUAGAGUAUCGUAGAGGGAGGUAGAAUUCUAGGUGUAGCGGUGAAAUGCGUAGAUAUCUGGAGGAAUACCUGUGGCGAAAGCGGCCUCCUAAACGAUACUGACACUGAGGUGCGAAAGCGUGGGGAGCAAACAGGGAUUAGAUACCCUCGUGAGGUCUCGGACGGACGCACACGGGAGGUAGUA
RNAcentral lists this ribosomal RNA (494 nucleotides) under uncultured bacterium. RNAcentral describes it as "bacterial SSU rRNA". It matches the Rfam family "Bacterial small subunit ribosomal RNA", at positions 340 to 827 of the family's 1533-position model. The record is from RNAcentral.